UACGUAGGGGCUAGCGUUAUCCGGAAUUACUGGGCGUAAAGGGUGCGUAGGCGGUCUUUCAAGCCAGAAGUGAAAGGCUACGGCUCAACCGUAGUAAGCCUUUGAAACUGCAGGGCUUGAGUACAGGAGAGGAAAGCGGAAUUCCUAGUGUAGCGGUGAAAUGCGUAGAUAUUAGGAGGAACACCAGUGGCGAAGGCGGCUUUCUGGACUGAUACUGACGCUGAGGAACGAAAGCGUGGGGAGCAAACAGGAUUAGAUACCCCCGUAGUCCCUGAGCGGG
RNAcentral lists this ribosomal RNA (280 nucleotides) under uncultured prokaryote. RNAcentral describes it as "partial 16S ribosomal RNA". It matches the Rfam family "Bacterial small subunit ribosomal RNA", at positions 524 to 803 of the family's 1533-position model. The record is from RNAcentral.